AAGGUAGCGCAAUCACUUGUUCUUUAAAUGAGGACUAGUAUGAACGGCAUCACGAGGAUUAUACUGUCUCCCUUCUUUAAUCAGUGAAACUGAUCCCCCCGUGAAGAAGCGGGAAUAAACAUAUAAGACGAGAAGACCCUAUGGAGCUUUAAACUUAACACCACUUAUCUAAAACACUUCAUAAUAAACAGAUAAGCUUGUGCGCGUUUUAGGUUGGGGUGACCGCGGAGUAAAAUUUAACCUCCACGUUGAAAGGCCUUUAUCCUUAUCCAAGAGCCACAUCUCCAAGAAUCAACAAAUUGACAUUUAUUGACCCAAAUUUUUUUUGAUCAACGAACCAAGUUACCCUAGGGAUAACAGCGCAAUCCAUUUCAAGAGCUCAUAUCGACAAAUGGGUUUACGACCUCGAUGUUGGAUCAGGGUAUCCCAGUGGUGCAGCCGCUACUA
RNAcentral lists this ribosomal RNA (447 nucleotides) under Chiasmocleis shudikarensis (Guyana humming frog). RNAcentral's name for it is "LSU rRNA". It matches the Rfam family "Bacterial large subunit ribosomal RNA", at positions 1953 to 2567 of the family's 2925-position model. Lineage: Eukaryota; Metazoa; Chordata; Amphibia; Anura; Microhylidae. The record is from RNAcentral.